CAACCUACCUAUCAGAGGGGAAUAACCCGGCGAAAGUCGGACUAAUACCGCAUAAAACAGGGGCACCGCAUGGUGAUAUUUGUUAAAGAAAUUCGCUGAUAGAUGGGCAUGCGUUCCAUUAGGUAGUUGGUGAGGUAACGGCUCACCAAGCCGACGAUGGAUAGGGGAACUGAGAGGUUGGUCCCCCACACUGGUACUGAGACACGGACCAGACUCCUACGGGAGGCAGCAGUGAGGAAUAUUGGUCAAUGGGCGAGAGCCUGAACCAGCCAAGUCGCGUGAAGGAAGAAGGAUCUAUGGUUCGUAAACUUCUUUUGCAGGGGAAUAAAGUGCAGGACGUGUCCUGUUUUGUAUGUACCCUGAGAAUAAGGAUCGGCUAACUCCGUGCCAGCAGCCGCGGUAAUACGGAGGAUCCGAGCGUUAUCCGGAUUUAUUGGGUUUAAAGGGUGCGUAGGUGGUUUGAUAAGUCAGCGGUGAAAGUUUGCAGCUUAACUGUAAAAAUGCCGUUGAAACUGUCGGACUUGAGUGUAAAUGAGGUAGGCGGAAUGCGUGGUGUAGCGGUGAAAUGCAUAGGUAUCACGAAGAACUCCGANUG
This 595-nucleotide ribosomal RNA is filed under the name uncultured Bacteroidota bacterium. RNAcentral's name for it is "bacterial SSU rRNA". It matches the Rfam family "Bacterial small subunit ribosomal RNA", at positions 122 to 715 of the family's 1533-position model. The record is from RNAcentral. Lineage: Bacteria; Pseudomonadati; Bacteroidota.